AGGCGAGGCCGACAGGCGUAGUCGAUGGACAACGGGUUGAUAUUCCCGUACCCGCUUCAAUGCGCCCAUAUCGAACCUCGUGAUGCUAAGAGUCCUUAAGUCCUCUGAUGUCCUUCGGGACUAGGGGUGAGGCUGAACGCUCGAUCCGAUCGGGUAGUAGGUAAGCGAUGGGGUGACGCAGGAAGGUAGUCCAGCCCAGGCGAUGGUUGUCCUGGGGUAAGCAUGUAGGGCGGAACGUAGGUAAAUCCGCGUUCUAUUCAGCCUGAGAUGUGAUGCCGAGCCGAUUGUGGUGAAGUGGAUGAUCCUAUGCUGCCGAGAAAAGCCUCUAGUGAGUGUUGUGGCGGCCCGUACCCUAAACCGACUCAGGUGGUCAGGUAGAGAAUACCAAGGCGAUCGGGUGAACUGUGGUUAAGGAACUCGGCAAAUUGCCCCCGUAACUUCGGGAGAAGGGGGACCUCUGCUGGUGAUGGGCUUUACGUUCUGAGCUGGUGGGGGUCGCAGUGGCCAGGGGGAAGCGACUGUUUACUAAAAACACAGGUCCGUGCGAAGUCGUAAGACGAUGUAUACGGACUGACGCCUGCCCGGUGCCGGAACGUUAAGGGGACCGCUUAGCCAACGCGAGUUGGCGAAGGUGAGAACUUAAGCGCCGGUAAACGGCGGUGGUAACUAUAACCAUCCUAAGGUAGCGAAAUUCCUUGUCGGGUAAGUUCCGACCUGCACGAAUGGCGUAACGACUUCCCCGCUGUCUCAACCACAGACCCGGCGAAAUUGCACUACGAGUAAAGAUGCUCGUUUCGCGCAGCAGGACGGAAAGACCCCGGGACCUUCACUACAGCUUGACAUUGGCGUUUGGAACGUCUUGUGUAGGAUAGGUGGGAGACUGGGAAGCUGUCACGCUAGUGAUGGUGGAGUCAUUGGUGAAAUACCACUCUGGUCGUUUUGAACGUCUAACUCUGGUCCGUGAUCCGGAUCGGGGACAGUGGCUGGUGGGUAGUUUAACUGGGGCGGUUGCCUCCUAAAGAGUAACGGAGGCGCCCAAAGGUUCCCUCAGCCUGGUUGGCAAUCAGGUGUUGAGUGUAAGUGCACAAGGGAGCUUGACUGUGAGACUGACAGGUCGAGCAGGAGCGAAAGCUGGGACUAGUGAUCCGGCAUCGGCGUGUGGAAGCGGUGUCGCUCAACGGCUAAAAGGUACCCCGGGGAUAACAGGCUGAUCUUCCCCAAGAGUCCAUAUCGACGGGAUGGUUUGGCACCUCGAUGUCGGCUCGUCGCAUCCUGGGGCUGGAGUAGGUCCCAAGGGUUGGGCUGUUCGCCCAUUAAAGCGGUACGCGAGCUGGGUUUAGAACGUCGCGAGACAGUUCGGUCCCUAUCCGCUGCGCGCGCAGGAGACUUGAAGGGGGCUGUCCCUAGUACGAGAGGACCGGGACGGACGAACCUCUGGUGUGCCAGUUGUACCGCCAGGUGCACGGCUGGUUGGCUACGUUCGGAAGGGAUAACCGCUGAAAGCAUCUAAGCGGGAAGCUCGCCUUGAGAUGAGGUCUCCCACCCCGUGAGGGGGUAAGGCUCCCGGUAGAUCACCGGGUUGAUAGGCCGGAGGUGGAAGCACGGUAACGUGUGGAGCUGACCGGUACUAAUAGGCCGAGGACUUGACC
RNAcentral lists this ribosomal RNA (1649 nucleotides) under metagenome. RNAcentral's name for it is "bacterial LSU rRNA". It matches the Rfam family "Bacterial large subunit ribosomal RNA", at positions 1394 to 2925 of the family's 2925-position model. The record is from RNAcentral.